This 506-nucleotide ribosomal RNA is filed under the name uncultured bacterium. Its description in RNAcentral is "bacterial SSU rRNA". It matches the Rfam family "Bacterial small subunit ribosomal RNA", at positions 28 to 527 of the family's 1533-position model. The record is from RNAcentral.
GAUGAACGCUAGCUACAGGCUUAACACAUGCAAGUCGAGGGGCAGCACAGUGUAGCAAUACACGGGUGGCGACCGGCGCACGGGUGCGUAACGCGUAUCCAACCUUCCCGUUACUCUUGGAUAGCCUUCCGAAAGGGAGAUUAAUACAAGAUGGUAUUCAAAUUCCGCAUGUUAUUUGAAUUAAAGAUUUAUCGGUAACGGAUGGGGAUGCGUGACAUUAGGUAGAUGGCGGGGUAACGGCCCACCUAGCCGACGAUCUUUAGGGGUUCUGAGAGGAAGGUCCCCCACACUGGUACUGAGACACGGACCAGACUCCUACGGGAGGCAGCAGUGAGGAAUAUUGGUCAAUGGGGCGAGAGCCUGAACCAGCCAAGUAGCGUGAAGGAUGACUGCCCUACGGGUUGUAAACUUCUUUUAUACGGGAAUAAAACCUCCACGUGUGGGAGCUUGUAUGUACCGUAUGAAUAAGCAUCGGCUAACUCCGUGCCAGCAGCCGCGGUAAAAGU